GAUGAACGCUGGCGGCGUGCCUAAUACAUGCAAGUCGAGCGAACGGACGAGAAGCUUGCUUCUCUGAUGUUAGCGGCGGACGGGUGAGUAACACGUGGAUAACCUACCUAUAAGACUGGGAUAACUUCGGGAAACCGGAGCUAAUACCGGAUAAUAUUUUGAACCGCAUGGUUCAAAAGUGAAAGACAGUCUUGCUGUCACUUAUAGAUGGAUCCGCGCUGCAUUAGCUAGUUGGUAGGGUAACGGCUUACCAAGGCAACGAUGCAUAGCCGACCUGAGAGGGGGAUCGGCCACACUGGAACUGAGACACGGUCCAGACUCCUACGGGAGGCAGCAGUAGGGAAUCUUCCGCAAUGGGCGAAAGCCUGACGGAGCAACGCCGCGUGAGUGAUGAAGGUCUUCGGAUCGUAAAACUCUGUUAUUAGGGAAGAACAUAUGUGUAAAUAACUGUGCACAUCUUGACGGUACCUAAUCAGAAAGCCACGGCUAACUACGUG
RNAcentral lists this ribosomal RNA (497 nucleotides) under uncultured bacterium. Its description in RNAcentral is "partial 16S ribosomal RNA". It matches the Rfam family "Bacterial small subunit ribosomal RNA", at positions 28 to 507 of the family's 1533-position model. The record is from RNAcentral.